AGUGAACGCUGGCGGUAGGCCUAACACAUGCAAGUCGAACGGCAGCACAGUAAGAGCUUGCUCUUACGGGUGGCGAGUGGCGGACGGGUGAGGAAUACAUCGGAUUCUACUUUUUCGUGGGGGGUAACGUAGGGAAACUUACGCUAAUACCGCAUACGACCUACGGGUGAAAGCAGGGGAUCUUCGGGCCUUGCGCGAUUGAAUGAGCCGAUGUCGGAUUAGCUAGUUGGCGGGGUAAAGGCCCACCAAGGCGACGAUCCGUAGCUGGUCUGAGAGGAUGAUCAGCCACACUGGAACUGAGACACGGUCCAGACUCCUACGGGAGGCAGCAGUGGGGAAUAUUGGACAAUGGGCGCAAGCCUGAUCCAGCCAUACCGCGUGGGUGAAGAAGGCCUUCGGGUUGUAAAGCCCUUUUGUUGGGAAAGAAAAGCAGCAGGUUAAUACCCCGCUGUUCUGACGGUACCCAAAGAAUAAGCACCGGCUAACUUCGUG
Molecule: ribosomal RNA, 492 nt
Filed under: uncultured bacterium
Lineage: Bacteria
Description: partial 16S ribosomal RNA
Rfam family: Bacterial small subunit ribosomal RNA
Source: RNAcentral